GAUUUUCUGAAUGGAGCAUGGUAGCACGCUAUAGAGUCCAAGGAAUUUGCCAAAUCCGUGUGAGAAGGUUUGCCUCUCACAUGUGAGAGAAUUUUUUGAGAAAAAAAAAUCCUGACCCCGUCCCCCUGCCACCACCCGAGUGAGGCAGACUGACAGAGCACAUUGGCUUGCUGUGGAGACAAGAUCAGGGAAAGCGCCUCUGAAAAGAAAGCAUUUUGGAAGUCCUGAAGGUGGAGAAGGAGAUUUAGAGGAAGAGUGAUAAAUCAGAAGUCUUCGUCCAAGAAUUAGCUUUGCACCAUCUACAGACCUAAGCAGCUGCAGUCCUGGAACUGUGUGAUAACUUGCCCAGAAAUUCUUCUUGUGGAAUCUGUCUUUACAUGGAAACGACUUGGCAAUAUUUGUACAGCAACUGGAAGAAAGGUCUUUGCUGAGAUAUACAAAGAGGCAGAAUGUGUGUGGAUCACCG
RNAcentral lists this long non-coding RNA (466 nucleotides) under Pan troglodytes (chimpanzee). Its description in RNAcentral is "lincRNA". The record is from RNAcentral. Lineage: Eukaryota; Metazoa; Chordata; Mammalia; Primates; Hominidae.